GGGUAAUAAAACCUAAAGGCGAAACAAAAGUAAAGAAAGCUUUGCUUUUUAAGGGAAGAUGGUUAAAUUUUAGCCCGCACUCCCGGGGCGUUAAUUACUCAUUGCGAGUAAAGGCGCACCUAGAGCGUACAUGUUGGGUCCCGAAAGAUGGUGAACUAUACCUGACCAGGUUGAAGCCAGGGGAAACCCUGGUGGAGGACCGUAGCGAUUCUGACGUGCAAAUCGAUCGUCGGAGUUAGGUAUAGGGGCGAAAGACUAAUCGAACCAUCUAGUAGCUGGUUCCCUCCGAAGUUUCCCUCAGGAUAGCUGGUGCCGAUGAUGAUCAGAGUCUCAUCUGGUAAAGCGAAUNUUAUAGGCCUUGGGUUGAACGCCUCGCCUUUCUCGGACUUUAAAAAGCAAAGCUUUUCUUUACUUUUGUU
RNAcentral lists this ribosomal RNA (419 nucleotides) under Nannocoris nr. flavomarginata Peru 428. Its description in RNAcentral is "eukaryotic LSU rRNA". It matches the Rfam family "Eukaryotic large subunit ribosomal RNA", at positions 696 to 1097 of the family's 3401-position model. The record is from RNAcentral. Lineage: Eukaryota; Metazoa; Arthropoda; Insecta; Hemiptera; Schizopteridae.